RNAcentral lists this ribosomal RNA (408 nucleotides) under uncultured bacterium. RNAcentral's name for it is "partial 16S ribosomal RNA". It matches the Rfam family "Bacterial small subunit ribosomal RNA", at positions 28 to 526 of the family's 1533-position model. The record is from RNAcentral.
GACGAACGCUGGCGGCGUGCUUAACACAUGCAAGUCGAACGGAGUUGCGAACGGGUGAGUAACACGUGGGUGAUCUGCCUUGCACUUCGGGAUAAGCUUGGGAAACUGGGUCUAAUACCGGAUAGUGCAAGAUGAGCUGGUGGCCUAUCAGCUUGUUGGUGGGGUAAUGGCCUACCAACGCGUCGAUGGGUAGCCGGCCUGCGAGGGUGUACGGCAACAUUGGGACUGGGAUACGGCCCAGACUCCUACGGGAGGAAGCAGUGGGGAAUAUUGCACAAUGGGCGGAAGCCUGAUGGAGCGACGCCGCGUGGGGGAUGAAGGCCUUCGGGUUGUAAACUCCUUUCGACAGGGACGCGGUACCUGUAUAAGAAGCGCCGGCGAACUACGUGCCAGCAGCCGCGGUAAUUC